CGUGCCUAAUACAUGCAAGUCGAACGGCUUUUCUAUGGAAGCUUGCUUCCACUGAGAAGAUAGUGGCGAACGGGUGAGUAACACGUGGGUAACCUGCCCAUAAGAGGGGGAUAACAUCCGGAAACGGGUGCUAAUACCGCAUAGUUUUCUUGAUCGCAUGAUUGAGAAAGGAAAGACGGCCUUUGUGCUGUCGCUUAUGGAUGGACCCGCGGCGUAUUAGUUAGUUGGUGAGGUAACGGCUUACCAAGACGAUGAUACGUAGCCGACCUGAGAGGGUGAUCGGCCACAUUGGGACUGAGACACGGCCCAAACUCCUACGGGAGGCAGCAGUAGGGAAUCUUCCGCAAUGGACGAAAGUCUGACGGAGCAACGCCGCGUGAGUGAAGAAGGUUUUCGGAAUCGUAAAACUCUGUUGUCAGAGAAGAACAAGUUGGAGAGUAACUGCUCCAGCCUUGACGGUAUCUGACCAGAAAGCCACGGCUAACUACGUGCCAGCAGCAGC
RNAcentral lists this ribosomal RNA (502 nucleotides) under uncultured bacterium. RNAcentral describes it as "bacterial SSU rRNA". It matches the Rfam family "Bacterial small subunit ribosomal RNA", at positions 43 to 518 of the family's 1533-position model. The record is from RNAcentral.